UGUAGCUCAGUGGUAGAGCACUUGCCUGGCAUGUAUUUGGCACUGGAUUCAAUUCCCAGCA
This 61-nucleotide transfer RNA is filed under the name Ictidomys tridecemlineatus (thirteen-lined ground squirrel). Its description in RNAcentral is "Spermophilus tridecemlineatus (thirteen-lined ground squirrel) tRNA". It matches the Rfam family "tRNA", at positions 6 to 65 of the family's 71-position model. Rfam says of the family: Transfer RNA (tRNA) molecules are approximately 80 nucleotides in length. Their secondary structure includes four short double-helical elements and three loops (D, anti-codon, and T loops). The record is from Rfam by way of RNAcentral. Lineage: Eukaryota; Metazoa; Chordata; Mammalia; Rodentia; Sciuridae.